RNAcentral lists this ribosomal RNA (472 nucleotides) under Streptococcus mitis. RNAcentral's name for it is "bacterial SSU rRNA". It matches the Rfam family "Bacterial small subunit ribosomal RNA", at positions 28 to 485 of the family's 1533-position model. Lineage: Bacteria; Bacillati; Bacillota; Bacilli; Lactobacillales; Streptococcaceae. The record is from RNAcentral.
GACGAACGCUGGCGGCGUGCCUAAUACAUGCAAGUAGAACGCUGAAGGAGGAGCUUGCUUCUCUGGAUGAGUUGCGAACGGGUGAGUAACGCGUAGGUAACCUGCCUGGUAGCGGGGGAUAACUAUUGGAAACGAUAGCUAAUACCGCAUAACAGUAGAUGUUGCAUGACAUUUGCUUAAAAGGUGCAAUUGCAUCACUACCAGAUGGACCUGCGUUGUAUUAGCUAGUUGGUGGGGUAACGGCUCACCAAGGCGACGAUACAUAGCCGACCUGAGAGGGUGAUCGGCCACACUGGGACUGAGACACGGCCCAGACUCCUACGGGAGGCAGCAGUAGGGAAUCUUCGGCAAUGGACGGAAGUCUGACCGAGCAACGCCGCGUGAGUGAAGAAGGUUUUCGGAUCGUAAAGCUCUGUUGUAAGAGAAGAACGGGUGUGAGAGUGGAAAGUUCACACUGUGACGGUAUCUACCA